UACGUAGGUGACAAGCGUUGUCCGGAUUUACUGGGCGUAAAGAGCGCGCAGGCGGUCGUUCAAGUCGAGUGUGAAAGCCCCCGGCUCAACUGGGGAGGGUCAUUCGAUACUGAUCGACUCGAAGGCAGGAGAGGGAUGUGGAAUUCCAGGUGUAGCGGUGAAAUGCGUAGAUAUCUGGAGGAACACCGGUGGCGAAGGCGGCAUCCUGGACCGGUAUUGACGCUGAGGCGCGAAAGCUAGGGGAGCAAACGGG
Molecule: ribosomal RNA, 253 nt
Filed under: uncultured bacterium
Lineage: Bacteria
Description: partial 16S ribosomal RNA
Rfam family: Bacterial small subunit ribosomal RNA
Source: RNAcentral